AAAAACAUGUCUUUUUGAGAAAGAAUUUAAAGUCGGGCCUGCCCACUGAAGAUAAUUGAAGGGCCGCGGUAUUUUGACCGUGCAAAGGUAGCAUAAUCAUUAGUCUUUUAAUUGAAGGCUGGAAUGAAUGGUUUGACGAAGUAUUAACUGUCUCUUUACAAAAAAUCUGUAGAAUUUAACUUUUGAGUUAAAAGGCUUAAAUAAUAAUAAGGGACGAGAAGACCCUAUAGAGUUUUAUAUAAAUAAUAAAUUGAUUUAUUUGGAGGUUGAGAUUUUUAUUUAUUAUUUGUAUUGUGUUGGGGUGACAUAAAGAUAAAAGGAACUCUUUAUUAAUUAGUACAUAAAUUUAUGGGUAAUUGAUCCAUUAUUAAUGAUUACAAGAUAAAAUUACCUUAGGGAUAACAGCGUAAUUUUUCUUAAGAGUUCAUAUCGAAAGAAAAGUUUGCGACCUCGAUGUUGGAUUAAGAUAAUGAUUAGGUGUAGCAGCUUAAUUAAUAAGUCUGUUCGACUUUUAAAAUCUUACGU
Molecule: ribosomal RNA, 525 nt
Filed under: Phlesirtes sp. SK-2016m
Lineage: Eukaryota; Metazoa; Arthropoda; Insecta; Orthoptera; Tettigoniidae
Description: partial 16S ribosomal RNA
Rfam family: Bacterial large subunit ribosomal RNA
Source: RNAcentral